GAUCACUGUGUGUGUUGUCUGUCUUUGUAGGCUAUUGAGUGAGUCAUAUACCCUUACCUGCAAGCUGUCCUGGAUGACUACUCUGUCUCCAAUGCCCAGGUGAAAGCAGACAGACACAAGUCUAUGGAGCAAUCCUGCAGAGGGGUCGACAGCACCCAGCCACGCUUCGGGAGUGUGAUUUCCGCCGGGCUCAGCCUCUCUCCGAGGCCACGCUGGGCAUCGUCAGUCCCCUGCAGGGACCUGGGGGAGCUGGAACCCCCUGGAAUGACUGGACCACAUCCCCCUGCCCGCCAUGUACUGUGAGCAGUUUGUUUUGUUCGUAGAAACAAGCAGCGUUGGUUCCCUGUUCCUUGCGCCUGUUUUCUAGUUUCCCGGUUCUGACCGUUCUGCCUGACCUGACACUGAGCCUGCCUGCUGUCCUGUACCUUCCAUCCUCUCUGGAUUAUUGACCCCUGCCUGCCUUGACCUGUCGUUUGCCUGCCUCGUCUUGACGUUUGCCUGCCCCUGUUUAAGGAAUACACUUGUUUCUUCAACAUUG
Oncorhynchus tshawytscha (Chinook salmon) is the source of this 538-nucleotide long non-coding RNA. The record is from Ensembl. NCBI's taxonomy places the organism in Eukaryota, Metazoa, Chordata, Actinopteri, Salmoniformes, Salmonidae.